This 114-nucleotide small RNA is filed under the name Mytilus galloprovincialis (Mediterranean mussel). It matches the Rfam family "Potassium channel RNA editing signal". Rfam says of the family: This family represents a group of sequences related to the human potassium channel Kv1.1 hairpin element which directs the efficient modification of an adenosine to inosine by an adenosine deaminase acting on RNA (ADAR). Lineage: Eukaryota; Metazoa; Mollusca; Bivalvia; Mytilida; Mytilidae. The record is from RNAcentral.
GUCGGGUACGGAGAUAUGUAUCCGGUUGGCAUUUUUGGAAAGAUUAUCGGCACAUUGGCAGUUUUAUGUGGAUUGCUGUCAAUUGCAUUGCCAGUUCCUGUUAUUGUUACAAAU